Long non-coding RNA from Cyprinus carpio carpio, 903 nucleotides. The record is from Ensembl. NCBI's taxonomy places the organism in Eukaryota, Metazoa, Chordata, Actinopteri, Cypriniformes, Cyprinidae.
GCUUUCUGCUAUAAUGUAAACGCCUGCAGUUGUCCAUAUCGACAUGUAAAUCAUACAAAUUACGUACAAUGUCGCUGGACCGCAGGUCUAAAAGAACCGACGAUCCGGUUCAAAUAAACCGGUUCAUCAAUUCUCGGACAAAGUGAUUCCCGGAAAAGAAUCGACGUCUCAGGGCCUCGAUACAUUUCAAAGUGCGCGCACGCACAGCGAGUGACGUAGGCCGCGUUAGUGAGGUGAUGUUUGAUGCCUGUGUGGUUUAUAAAGUCUUUUUACAUACGUAAAUAAAGGUUUUUGGUAAGUCAUAAUUCAAAAUGUUGUUUUUUUCUUGUCAGAAGAGCACAUGGAUACAUUUGUGAGAGAAAAACUCGUUGAAUGCAGUCUUAUCGAGACGUCUAACGGUUGGAACAAACGUGGAAUUCCUUAACCGAGCAGAGUCCACAAAACCCCAUCCAUUUGUCAUGGCAAUUUGAAAAUGCCAGCAGAUCUAUCAGACAUUGAUCAUAAUCAAUGGACAGGUCACCGUAGCCACCCAGAUCCAGUCUGUAUCCAGAUCAGAUGGUGGAGAGAUGACCUCUACAGCCCUGAAAGACAGCGGAGACCAGGACAACUAGAUGAGCCCCAGAGACAGAUCCCCUGUAAAGACCUUGUCUCCUAGACGGACAUCGGCACAAGUCAUCGGGAACCAGAUGAGUCCACUGCACAAUCUGACUCUGCUGCAGCCUGGAAUUGAACCGCUGGUUUGGUCUGGCCAGAGGAGAACUUGCCCCCCAACUGAGCCUGAUUUCUCCCAAGGUUUUUUCUCAAUUCUAUCACCGAUGGAGUUUUGGUUCCUUGCCGCUGUUGCCUCUGGCUUGCUUAGCUGGGGACACUUAAUAUCCAGCGAUAUCGUCUACUUGAAUGCAC